Long non-coding RNA from Octopus sinensis (East Asian common octopus), 727 nucleotides. RefSeq lists it as uncharacterized. Lineage: Eukaryota; Metazoa; Mollusca; Cephalopoda; Octopoda; Octopodidae. The transcript has 3 exons. The record is from RefSeq and is a predicted model, not a curated record.
ACAUUCAUAUCUACAUACAUACCUAUUUAGUUAUUUGUUUAGUUGAAAACCUGUAGUUCAAGAGUUAAUUAUUUAAGCACAUAGUCACCCGAGUCUGUUUAUUUCAAUUCGAUGCGCUGAUUGGCUGAGGUGAUUCGCCUGAUGUUUUUUCACCGAUCUGAUGAACCACGUGUUACCCUGUAGUAGAAAAAAUUCAAUACUGAAAUGAUACAUAAUUUAAUGGACGGUAUGUACAUGGACCUUUAAGUGAAAUUUAUUUGUUUUUAUUAUUAUUCAAUAUUUUCCUUUCUAUAUGACCAGUAUCUCCAAUUUAAGAACACACUCAGAUGGAUUUUUAGAACUUAUUUGGAUAUACACCAUUUAAUCUCUGGAUUAACACUUUUGGGAUUAUUACUAUACAUUUUGGAUUGGAUUACUUAUAGAUGACUGGAUUUACCCCAAAUGUCUUGAUGCUGCUCCAAAUUCGAUGACAAUAAAUCCUGCUGCUGCUGAUACAACACAAGUCCAUAUACAUCAAAUACGACUGCUUCUGAUGUUACUAUUUCCAUUAGUGAGAUUGAACAAACAAACCGAAAUUGGAUGUUGCUUUUUCUUACAUAGAAACAAAAAAAUGCAUAGUAAUAUAUUUAUUAAAUUUGAACGCCUCUGAGAUUUGAAAUUAGAACCUAAAGGAUUUCGAAAUUAAAUGUUCACCAGAAAAAUAAAAAAAAAUAUUCUUUUUUUCAUU